Molecule: long non-coding RNA, 657 nt
Filed under: Mus pahari (shrew mouse)
Lineage: Eukaryota; Metazoa; Chordata; Mammalia; Rodentia; Muridae
Description: predicted gene 44876 (MGP_PahariEiJ_G0002208.1)
Source: RNAcentral
CAUGCAUGCUACUGCGCAAGUCUUUUCCGUGGGCUCUGGGGAUUUAAACUCAGGGCCUCAUGGCACUGACCCAUCUCCUGCGUUUCUGCUUUUGACACGCCAGCUACACUGCUCCAGGAGUCCCGUGAGUUCUCCUCACCACUGGAGCCCCCAAGGUCACACAGUCACAGAUUUUCAUUACUUGCUGAAAAAAACAAUGCGUGCUGUACAUCAUGCCUGUUCCGGACGAGCCCUUCUCCUCCUCGGCGGUACCACCGAGUCAACCUCACACACCUUUCCCAGUCCUGACUAUCCAGCUACUGCAUGCUGUACAGAAAGAAGACUCAGUCAGUCUGUGGCACUGAACAGUGACAACCACAGAAAGUGCAGCCCUCUAAUCACCAUACCACAGUCACAAGGAUGUAUAGUUAGAGGCAUCCUAGAAUCGCAAAUGCUGAGGUCAGCCAGAGGGAAUUUCUGAACAGAGAAUAUACACGGCUGUAAAGAUUCUCACAGCCCAAGACCCUGACACUUACGGUUGUACCACGUGAUGUCAGGACUCCACUCACUCCAGGUGCCCAGCUGUGAUUACAGGCAUGGGCCACUAUACCCAGCUCAACUCUACGCCUAUCUAUGCACUUACAACGGUCACCAUGAACAACACACAAUAGCAAAUGU